CCUACGGGAGGCAGCAGUGGGGAAUAUUGCACAAUGGAGGGAAUUCUGAUCCAGCGACGCCGCGUGAGUGAAGAAGGAAUUCGUUAUGUAAAGCUCUAUCAGCAGGGAAGAAAGAGACGGUACGUGACAAAGAAGCUCCGGCUAAAUACGUGCCAGCAGCCGCGGUAAUACGUAUGGAGCAAGCGUUAUCCGGAUUUACUGGGGGUAAAGGGAGAGUAGGUGGCAGAGCAAGUCCGAAGGGAAAACCCAGAGCUCAACUAUGGGAAGGCUUUAGAAACUGCUCGGCUAGAGUGCAGGAGAGGCAAGUGGAAUGCGUGGUGUAGCGGUGAAAUGCGUAGAUAUUGGGAGGAACACCAGUGGCGAAGGCGGCUUGCUGGACUGUAACUGACGCUGAGGCUCGAAAGCGUGGGGAGCAAACAGGAUUAGAUACCCCUGUAGUC
This 440-nucleotide ribosomal RNA is filed under the name uncultured bacterium. RNAcentral describes it as "partial 16S ribosomal RNA". It matches the Rfam family "Bacterial small subunit ribosomal RNA", at positions 338 to 795 of the family's 1533-position model. The record is from RNAcentral.